AUUGAACGCUGGCGGCAGGCCUAACACAUGCAAGUCGAGCGGCAGCGGGAAAGUAGCUUGCUACUUUUGCCGGCGAGCGGCGGACGGGGGAGUAAUGCCUGGGGAUCUGCACAGUCGAGGGGGAUAACUACUGGAAACGGUAGCUAAUACCGCAUACGCCCUACGGGGGAAAGCAGGGGACCUUCGGGACUUGCGCGAUAGGAUGAACCCCGGUGGGAUUAGCUAGUUGGUGAGGUAAGGGCUCACCAAGGCGACGAUCCCUAGCUGUUCUGAGAGGAUGAUCAGCCACACUGGAACUGAGACACGGUCCAGACUCCUACGGGAGGCAGCAGUUGGGAAUAUUGCACAAUGGGGGAAACCCUGAUGCAGCCAUGCCGCGUGUGUGAAGAAGGCCUUCGGGUUGUAAAGCACUUUCAGCGGGGAGGAAGGGUCACUAGUUAAUACCUAGUGGCAUUGACGUUACUCGCAGAAGAAGCACCGGCUAACUCCGUGCCAGCCGCCGCGGUAAGAC
RNAcentral lists this ribosomal RNA (511 nucleotides) under uncultured bacterium. RNAcentral describes it as "bacterial SSU rRNA". It matches the Rfam family "Bacterial small subunit ribosomal RNA", at positions 29 to 526 of the family's 1533-position model. The record is from RNAcentral.